GAAAUGCGAUAAUUAAUGUGAAUUGCAGAAUUCAGUGAAUCAUCGAGUCUUUGAACGCACAUUGCGCCCCCUGGUAUUCCGGGGGGCAUGCCUGUCCGAGCGUCAUUGCUGCCCUCAAGCACGGCUUGUGUAUUGGGCUUCCGUCCCUGGCAACGGGGACGGGCCCAAAAGGCAGUGGCGGCACCAUGUCUGGUCCUCGAGCGUAUGGGGCUUUGUCACCCGCUCCCGUAGGUCCAGCUGGCAGCUAGCCUCGCAACCAAUCUUUUUAACCAGGUUGACCUCGGAUCAGGUAGGGAUACCCGCUGAACUUAAGC
This 314-nucleotide unclassified non-coding RNA is filed under the name plant metagenome. Its description in RNAcentral is "partial contains 5.8S ribosomal RNA, internal transcribed spacer 2, and large subunit ribosomal RNA". The stretch from base 1 to 105 matches the Rfam family "5.8S ribosomal RNA", at positions 50 to 154 of the family's 154-position model. The record is from RNAcentral.